ACUUCUAAAGGAUAACAGUACAUCCGUUGGUCUUAGGAACCAAAAACUCUUGGUGCAAGUCCAAGUAGAAGUU
Molecule: transfer RNA, 73 nt
Filed under: Rasbora kalbarensis (Kalbar rasbora)
Lineage: Eukaryota; Metazoa; Chordata; Actinopteri; Cypriniformes; Danionidae
Description: tRNA-Leu
Rfam family: tRNA
About the family: Transfer RNA (tRNA) molecules are approximately 80 nucleotides in length. Their secondary structure includes four short double-helical elements and three loops (D, anti-codon, and T loops). Further hydrogen bonds mediate the characteristic L-shaped molecular structure. tRNAs have two regions of fundamental functional importance: the anti-codon, which is responsible for specific mRNA codon recognition, and the 3' end, to which the tRNAs corresponding amino acid is attached (by aminoacyl-tRNA synthetases). tRNAs cope with the degeneracy of the genetic code in two manners: having more than one tRNA (with a specific anti-codon) for a particular amino acid; and 'wobble' base-pairing, i.e. permitting non-standard base-pairing at the 3rd anti-codon position.
Source: RNAcentral